CGCUCCUCUGCCGCAGGCUUGACCUACGCGCCUCUGGCCACAGCUGCGACCUGCGGGCUCCUCUUGUGCGUCUCCAGCCGUGGACGCCUUGGCCCAGCACUGGAUGCUCGAGCCGCCGCCGGUCGCGUGAAGCUCCGUCCCCACCAGCUCCGUCCGGUCGCCUGAAGCUCCGUCCUCCAGCUUUCCCUACAUCCAUCCCCGCCAGCCUGAGGUGAAGCACCUGUACGUCUUCUCCACCAUCCUUGCCUCCACGCCUCCAGCAAGCAGAUCGGAGAGUACACCACGCCACAACCUUUAGCUCCUAGCAGAUUCGUUCUUCCUCCUCGAUCUAUCAGUGGGGAGGACAAUGAAUCAAUUGCUGGAGAAAUCUCGAGUAAAGGAGCGUUUGCCAUCUUCCGAUUUCAAGGUCUAUCACCUUCUGCACCUGGCAAUGAAUUUCAUCUUGAAUCAUGACAUUAGAUGGCAAGAAGCUGAUCCCUAGAGGAGGAUCUCUUAGCUUGUGGUCAGGCAUAUGCAAAUUGGUCAAGCUCAUGAUUGAUCCUUCAGAAACACACUUGGUUAAAGAAGAUGGUCGGUUUACCCCCUUUUUUAUUUUUCUGUACGUCUAAUUGCUUCCUUGAGAAAAUACAUUUUCUGUUGGAUAACGUAGCCCCUCUGAUUUUGUAACGUGCUGAAAGGUAAGGUGCCCUGUUGGUUUUUACAAACUAACAAUUGCAGGGAUAACUGGUCCAGAAGGGCAUGCUCUCUCAAGACCCCCAGUUGUAUUUCCAAAUUCAACCUUCUCUUCAUCUCUUAUGCACUUAUGCACCUUGAUAUGUUCAUGUUUUCACUAACAAUUAAGGUACUUAGAACUUGUGCUUUACUCAGUCUCACAUGAAGCUAUUGUAAAGUCAAGAGUUUUUGUUUUCUUAUUUGCUAUAGUUGGAAGGAGAAGCAACUGCUAGGGCAAUCCGUUUAGCAAAGUUCGUCAAUACACCACUAUACGUUGUUCAUGUGAUGAGCAUUGACGCAAAUGGAGGAGAUUGCCAAGGCUAAAAGAGAAGGUGCACAGCACAGGCAGCACUUUUGGAGUAACAACCUUUUGACAGCAAGGAGUGUAACAACAAACAACCUUUUGUUCAAGAUGAAAAUACUUGGGGCCCACCCCACUCUGUGAACAGUACAUCUACAAUGCUGAGGUUAGCCUAAGGAGAAGGAUAAACACAUCUCUCAAUGUGUCAUGUAUGCUGCUAAUUACUAGGCUGAGACUUGACUCAUGACAUCACUAUAUGAUACUUAUUGUGGACAUCUAUGAUGUAUGAUAUGUAACUUCAUUUGGAGGAUCAUCAGUUUAAUCAUGUAUGGAUCAAUAUGUGUAUGCUGUCAGUUGCACUUCGUGCAUGUUGAACUAUAUAUCUGAGUUGUCAUUGUGUA
This is a long non-coding RNA of Panicum virgatum (switchgrass), 1413 nucleotides long. RefSeq lists it as uncharacterized. The transcript is spliced from 5 exons. NCBI's taxonomy places the organism in Eukaryota, Viridiplantae, Streptophyta, Magnoliopsida, Poales, Poaceae. The record is from RefSeq and is a predicted model, not a curated record.